AGAGUUUGAUCAUGGCUCAGGACGAACGCUGGCGGCGUGCUUAACGCAUGCAAGUCGAACGGUAAGGCCCCUUCGGGGGUACACGAGUGGCGAACGGGUGAGUAACACGUGAGCAACCUGCCCUUGACUCUGGAAUAACAGCUGGAAACAGCUGCUAAUACCGGAUAUGACCUCAAACGACAUCGUCUGAGGUGGAAAGCUCCGGCGGUCAAGGAUGGGCUCGCGGCCUAUCAGCUAGUUGGUGAGGUAACGGCUCACCAAGGCUUCGACGGGUAGCCGGCCUGAGAGGGCGACCGGCCACACUGGGACUGAGAUACGGCCCAGACUCCUACGGGAGGCAGCAGUGGGGAAUAUUGCACAAUGGGCGAAAGCCUGAUGCAGCAACGCCGCGUGCGGGAUGACGGCCUUCGGGUUGUAAACCGCUUUCAGUUCCGACGAAGCGCAAGUGACGGUAGGAACAGAAGAAGGACCGGCCAACUACGUGCCAGCAGCCGCGGUG
RNAcentral lists this ribosomal RNA (499 nucleotides) under uncultured Actinomycetes bacterium. Its description in RNAcentral is "bacterial SSU rRNA". It matches the Rfam family "Bacterial small subunit ribosomal RNA", at positions 8 to 522 of the family's 1533-position model. The record is from RNAcentral. Lineage: Bacteria; Bacillati; Actinomycetota; Actinomycetes.